CCUACGGGAGGCAGCAGUGAGGAAUAUUGGUCAAUGGGCGAGAGUCUGAACCAGCCAAGUAGCGUGAAGGAUGACUGCCCUAUGGGUUGUAAACUUCUUUUAUAAAGGAAUAAAACGAGGCACGUGUGCCUUUUUGCAUGUACUUUAUGAAUAAGGAUCGGCUAACUCCGUGCCAGCAGCCGCGGUAAUACGGAGGAUCCGAGCGUUAUCCGGAUUUAUUGGGUUUAAAGGGAGCGUAGAUGGGUUGUUAAGUCAGUGGUGAAAGGUUGCGGCUCAACCGUAAAAUUGCAAUUGAUACUGGCAGUCUUGAGUACAGUUGAGGUAGGCGGAAUUCGUGGUGUAGCGGUGAAAUGCUUAGAUAUCACGAAGAACCCCGAUUGCGAAGGCAGCUUACUAAACUGUGACUGACAUUGAUGCUCGAAAGUGUGGGUAUCAAACAGGAUUAGAUACCCUAGUAGUC
RNAcentral lists this ribosomal RNA (460 nucleotides) under uncultured bacterium. RNAcentral's name for it is "partial 16S ribosomal RNA". It matches the Rfam family "Bacterial small subunit ribosomal RNA", at positions 338 to 795 of the family's 1533-position model. The record is from RNAcentral.